RNAcentral lists this ribosomal RNA (403 nucleotides) under uncultured bacterium. RNAcentral's name for it is "partial 16S ribosomal RNA". It matches the Rfam family "Bacterial small subunit ribosomal RNA", at positions 30 to 527 of the family's 1533-position model. The record is from RNAcentral.
AUUGAACGCUGGCGGCAGGCCUAACACAUGCAAGUCGAGCGAGCGGCGGACGGGUGAGUAAUGUAUGGGGACUGCCCGAUAGAGGGGGAUAACUACUGUAAACGGUGGCUAAUACCGCAUACUAUCGGAUAACCCAUAUGGGAUUAGCUAGUAGGUGGGGGAAAGGCACACUUAGGCGACGAUCUCUAGCUGGUCUUAGAGGAUGAUCAGCCACAAUGGGACUGGGACACGGCCCAGACUCCUACGGAGGCAGCAGUGGGGAAUAUUGCACAAUGGACGCAAGCCUAAUGCAGCCAUGCCGCGUGUAUUGAGAAGGCCUUAGGGUUGUAAAGUACUUUCAGCAGGGAGGCGUUACCCGAAGAAGAAGCACCGGAUAACUCCGUGCCAGCAGCCGCGGUAAUUG